UACAUUAGUGUAUGUUUUUAACUUAUGGACAGACUUACAGACAAGUGGAAAAAAAGUAAGUUCUCUUUACAAUCCAGAACUCUUUUUGCAAUAUGAGUCUUGAUUACAUAGGAAGGAACGUG
This is a small nucleolar RNA of Mastomys coucha (southern multimammate mouse), 122 nucleotides long. RefSeq annotates it as small nucleolar RNA SNORA40. Lineage: Eukaryota; Metazoa; Chordata; Mammalia; Rodentia; Muridae. The record is from RefSeq and is a predicted model, not a curated record. The transcript has a single exon.